RNAcentral lists this ribosomal RNA (727 nucleotides) under Staphylococcus aureus. RNAcentral describes it as "partial 23S ribosomal RNA". It matches the Rfam family "Bacterial large subunit ribosomal RNA", at positions 426 to 1155 of the family's 2925-position model. Lineage: Bacteria; Bacillati; Bacillota; Bacilli; Caryophanales; Staphylococcaceae. The record is from RNAcentral.
GUGAAAUUCCGUCGGAAUCUGGGAGGACCAUCUCCUAAGGCUAAAUACUCUCUAGUGACCGAUAGUGAACCAGUACCGUGAGGGAAAGGUGAAAAGCACCCCGGAAGGGGAGUGAAAUAGAACCUGAAACCGUGUGCUUACAAGUAGUCAGAGCCCGUUAAUGGGUGAUGGCGUGCCUUUUGUAGAAUGAACCGGCGAGUUACGAUUUGAUGCAAGGUUAAGCAGUAAAUGUGGAGCCGUAGCGAAAGCGAGUCUGAAUAGGGCGUUUAGUAUUUGGUCGUAGACCCGAAACCAGGUGAUCUACCCUUGGUCAGGUUGAAGUUCAGGUAACACUGAAUGGAGGACCGAACCGACUUACGUUGAAAAGUGAGCGGAUGAACUGAGGGUAGCGGAGAAAUUCCAAUCGAACCUGGAGAUAGCUGGUUCUCUCCGAAAUAGCUUUAGGGCUAGCCUCAAGUGAUGAUUAUUGGAGGUAGAGCACUGUUUGGACGAGGGGCCCCUCUCGGGUUACCGAAUUCAGACAAACUCCGAAUGCCAAUUAAUUUAACUUGGGAGUCAGAACAUGGGUGAUAAGGUCCAUGUUCGAAAGGGAAACAGCCCAGACCACCAGCUAAGGUCCCAAAAUAUAUGUUAAGUGGAAAAGGAUGUGGCGUUGCCCAGACAACUAGGAUGUUGGCUUAGAAGCAGCCAUCAUUUAAAGAGUGCGUAAUAGCUCACUAGUCGAGUG